CUGAGAACUCGGUUAAUUAAUUGGGAUCGCCCAAGCCGCCGGCCCCCGGGGAGCUCCCCGGGGGGGACGCGGGGUGCCCGUGAGCGGUCACCGGGAUACGAGAGAGGCGUUAGCGGGGGAAGGACCCGGCAGCGCCCGGCCCCGCUCACAGCGGAGGGGCAGGGCCCGGCCCCCGGCCCCCGGCCCCCGGCCCCGGCCCCCCCCGGGCGCUGCCCCGGGCAGGGCCGCAGCAGGCCGCAGGAGGCCCCAGUAGGCCGCAGACCCCGCGCCCGUUGCCACGGCAACGCGCCUCGCCCAGGUGCGGAGCCCCCCGGGAGCAGCCGCUCGGCAUCACGGGACAGCGAGUCCGCAACCGCCUUGUCUUCAUCACCGCGCCGCGGCGGCGGACCACAACUCCCACAACCCCCUGGGGCAGCGCGGCCCCCUCCCCUUCCUCUACGCCCCUCGCUUCCAUUGGCUCCGCCGCGACGCCGAGCGGCCGCACGGCGGCUGCCGAUUGGCGGAAACGCGGCGGGGCCGAAGCGCUGCCUAUGGCGGCCGAGCGGGCGGUGGGGGAGCGCGGCCGCCAUUUUGUGUGCGCGGAGGCCGGCGCCGGGCCUCGGUGCCCGCCGCGGCGGGGCCGAUGGACCAAAAGCUGCCUGCUUGUUGGAAGGCUGUUGGGCACUGGCCUCAUCGGUGAGCGCUGUAAAAACUCUUCCUUGUACAGGUUAACUCCCUGUUACACAGCUUCUCCUUUAAAAAGAAAUACUGCUUAUAUCGCAAUACAACACCAUCGUCGGGAUAGCCAGAACAGCUGCCGUUUUCAGGGAACUGGCCUGCUGUUGCGCUGCUUUGUGUUUGCGCUGAAGAAUGGCCGCGCCUGAAGCCAGGUGCUCGGCUCUGCGCUGGGGCAGGUUGGUGCUGCUCCGAGUGCAAUGCCUCCUGCUGGACUCAGUGCCGUCGGGCACAGCCCUGCCCCAGAAGAACACGGGACUGCCCCUCGCAGCGCAGUUGCUGAGAGAAUAAAAUCUCAGCUGGACAAACA
RNAcentral lists this long non-coding RNA (1024 nucleotides) under Anser cygnoides (Swan goose). RNAcentral describes it as "lncRNA (ENSACDG00005012836.1)". Lineage: Eukaryota; Metazoa; Chordata; Aves; Anseriformes; Anatidae. The record is from RNAcentral.